This 654-nucleotide ribosomal RNA is filed under the name Strigivenifera venata. RNAcentral's name for it is "eukaryotic LSU rRNA". It matches the Rfam family "Eukaryotic large subunit ribosomal RNA", at positions 413 to 825 of the family's 3401-position model. The record is from RNAcentral. Lineage: Eukaryota; Metazoa; Arthropoda; Insecta; Lepidoptera; Limacodidae.
GGGUAAACCUGCGAAACUCGAAUGAACGAACGGAGAGAUUCAUCGUCACUCCACGGCGUUUCGACGUUGACCACGAUGCCCGAUCGCUUCAGGUCGAUGCGCACGGGUUGCGUCGUUAUACGUUCGGGGACGGCGUGCACUUCUCUCUUAGUAAUACAUCGUGACCCGUUAGACGUCGGUCUAAGCGCUUCACGGGAGUCCAUAUGUUCCAUUCGUGGUACUGUGGACCGUGCGAGUACGCCGACCGGCACUCUGACGGUAUAACAAUUGAAUCGCGCACGCGUUUUAUAUACGCGUCCGGCCCGACGCAAGGUAACGUCGUCAUCGAAGCCCUGCCUAUGUGCGGACGUCGGUGCGGCGCACCUGUUGUCGCCGCCGUGCAGUCUCGGACCGUGCGCGUCUCAGUCAACGAUGAUUCAGUUUCGGGCACUCGCAGGACCCGUCUUGAAACACGGACCAAGGAGUCUAGCAUGUGUGCGAGUCAUUGAGAUUAUAAAACUGAAAGGCACAACGAAAGUGAAGGUGAGCGCUCGACGCUCGCUCAGGGAGGAUGGAGAGUCGGUCUCGAUCGACCUCUCGCACUCCCGAGGCGUCUCGUUUCCAAUCUGUGAAUGCAGGCGCGCUCUGAGCACAGAUGCUGGGACCCGAAAGAUG